ACGCUGGCGGCACGCCUAACACAUGCAAGUCGAACGAAGUAGCAAUACUUAGUGGCAGACGGGUGAGUAACAUGUAGGUAUCUGCCCUUUGGCCUGGAAUAACACGAGGAAACUUGUGCUAAUACCGGAUAAGUCUUUACAGAGAAAGCUUUAUGCACCAUUGGAUGAGCCUGCACUUGAUUAGUUUGUUGGUGGGGUAAUGGCCUACCAAGACUGUGAUCAAUAGCUGAUUUGAGAGGAUGAUCAGCCACAUUGGGACUGAGACACGGCCCAAACUCCUACGGGAGGCAGCAGUGGGGAAUCUUGCACAAUGGAGGAAACUCUGAUGCAGCGAUGCCGCGUGAGUGAAGAAGGCCUUUGGGUUGUAAAGCUCUUUCGUCGGGGAAGAAAAUGACUGUACCCGAAUAAGAAGGUCCGGCUAACUUCGUGCCAGCAGCCGCGGUAAUACGAAGGGACCUAGCGUAGUUCGGAAUUACUGGGCUUAAAGAGUUCGUAGGUGGUUGAAAAAGUUAGUGGUGAAAUCCCAGAGCUUAACUCUGGAACUGCCAUUAAAACUUUUCAGCUAGAGUAUGAUAGAGGAAAGCAGAAUUUCUAGUGUAGAGGUGAAAUUCGUAGAUAUUAGAAAGAAUACCAAUUGCGAAGGCAGCUUUCUGGAUCAUUACUGACACUGAGGAACGAAAGCAUGGGUAGCGAAGAGGAUUAGAUACCCUCGUAGUCCAUGCCGUAAACGAUGUGUGUUAGACGUUGGAAAUUUAUUUUCAGUGUCGCAGCGAAAGCGAUAAACACACCGCCUGGGGAGUACGACCGCAAGGUUAAAACUCAAAUGAAUUGACGGGGACCCGCACAAGUAGUGGAGCAUGUGGUUUAAUUCGAAGAUACGCGCAGAACCUUACCAACACUUGACAUGUUCGUCGCGACUCUAAGAGAUUAGAGUUUUCGGUUCGGCCGGACGAAACACAGGUGCUGCAUGGCUGUCGUCAGCUCGUGUCGUGAGAUGUUGGGUUAAGUCCCGCAACGAGCGCAACCCUCACUUUUAGUUGCCAUCAUUAAGUUGGGCACUCUGAAAGAACUGCCAGUGAUAAGCUGGAGGAAGGUGGGGAUGACGUCAAGUCCUCAUGGCCCUUACGUGUUGGGCUACACACGUGCUACAAUGGUAUCUACAACAGGAAGCAAGACUGCGAAGUUAAGCAAAUCCCUAAAAGAUACCUCAGUUCGGAUUGCACUCUGCAACUCGAGUGCAUGAAGCUGGAAUUACUAGUAAUCGUGGAUCAGCGUGCCACGGUGAAUGCGUUCCCGGGUCUUGCACACACCGCCC
Molecule: ribosomal RNA, 1315 nt
Filed under: uncultured Alphaproteobacteria bacterium
Lineage: Bacteria; Pseudomonadati; Pseudomonadota; Alphaproteobacteria
Description: uncultured alpha proteobacterium 16S ribosomal RNA
Rfam family: Bacterial small subunit ribosomal RNA
Source: RNAcentral